Long non-coding RNA from Aedes aegypti (yellow fever mosquito), 419 nucleotides. RefSeq lists it as uncharacterized. The transcript is spliced from 3 exons. Lineage: Eukaryota; Metazoa; Arthropoda; Insecta; Diptera; Culicidae. The record is from RefSeq and is a predicted model, not a curated record.
CCAGGAACUCGCACUCACACUCAUUGACAGCGGUUUAAGCGAAGAUCAAAACCCUACGAGUUAAAAGAGUUGACCUAACCGCUUCGCUGUGUGAAAGGGUACCCAACCUUUAGGUCGAAGGGAUCAAAAUACCAAAUGUCAAACUUCGGGUUUUCAAAAAAAAAAUACCUAUCAAAGAUAAAAGGGUCCGAACGACGAUGAGAAUCUCUCAUUCUGUCGAAGACUAGUUAGAUAGUGAAGUGCGCGCCGUAUAAAAGUAAAAAUUUAAAGUCCAUAUAGUCGAAAAGGACGUUACAGACAGAUUAAAAGUGCUUAAUUCUAAAUUCCUAAAUGCUAAUAGUACGCUAAACAAUAGGAAGUGAUCGAAAUCUGCCACUACCAGUGAAACGAAGAAAACCUGUAAAAAUCAAAGAAAAGGU